RNAcentral lists this ribosomal RNA (392 nucleotides) under uncultured bacterium. RNAcentral describes it as "bacterial SSU rRNA". It matches the Rfam family "Bacterial small subunit ribosomal RNA", at positions 28 to 418 of the family's 1533-position model. The record is from RNAcentral.
GACGAACGCUGGCGGCGUGCUUAACACAUGCAAGUCGAGCGGUAAGGCCCUUUCGGGGGUACGACGAGCGGCGAACGGGUGAGUAACACGUGGGUGACCUGCCCUCAGCUCUGGGAGUAAGCCCGGGAAACUGGGUCUAAUACUGGAUAUGACUCCACGGUGCAUGCCGUGGGGUGGAAAGCCUUGUGCGGCUGAGGAUGGGCCCGCGGCCCUAUCCAGCUUGUUGGUGGGGUGAUGGCCACCAAGGCGACGACGGGUAGCCGGCCUGAGAGGGCGACCGGCCACACUGGGACUGAGACACGGCCCAGACUCCUACGGGAGGCAGCAGUGGGGAAUCUUGCGCAAUGGGCGAAAGCCUGACGCAGCGACGCCGCGUGAGGGAUGACGGCCUC